GAUGAAGAACGUAGCGAAAUGCGAUAAGUAAUGUGAAUUGCAGAAUUCAGUGAAUCAUCGAAUCUUUGAACGCACAUUGCACCCGCCAGUAUUCUGGCGGGCAUGCCUGUCCGAGCGUCAUUUCAACCCUCGAACCCCUCCGGGGGUCCGGCGUUGGGGAUCGGGAACCCCUAAGACGGGAUCCCGGCCCCGAAAUACAGUGGCGGUCUCGCCGCAGCCUCUCAUGCGCAGUAGUUUGCACAACUCGCACCGGGAGCGCGGCGCGUCCACGUCCGUAAAACACCCAACUUCUGAAAUGUUGACCUCGGAUCAGGUAGGAAUACCCGCUGAACUUAAGCAUAUCAAUAAGCGGAGGA
Molecule: unclassified non-coding RNA, 356 nt
Filed under: soil metagenome
Description: partial contains 5.8S ribosomal RNA, internal transcribed spacer 2, and large subunit ribosomal RNA
Rfam family: 5.8S ribosomal RNA (bases 1-120)
Source: RNAcentral